This 363-nucleotide transfer-messenger RNA is filed under the name Chloroflexota bacterium. It matches the Rfam family "transfer-messenger RNA". Rfam says of the family: Bacterial tmRNA, also known as 10Sa RNA or SsrA, is named for its dual tRNA and mRNA-like properties. Its role is to liberate the mRNA from a stalled ribosome. The record is from RNAcentral. Lineage: Bacteria; Bacillati; Chloroflexota.
GGGGAUGUCCGGUUUCGACAGGGUCGGACGCCAGGCCAUUGCACGUCGAGGUGCCCGAGGCCUCGUUAAAACGGUCAAACCUGUAGCUGCGAAACAACCGCAACUCGCCUACGCUGCCUAAGUCUUAGACCUCUAGACAGCGCGUUCAGCCGGACUCGUUCCGUCGGUCCGGAUCCUGAGCGUCACCAAGAUGGAAUGCGAUGAUCUAGUUUGCCAGAGCGCCAUCAUCCAAGACAGUCUGGCUCACCGGUUACCAAUCCUGUCGGCGGGAGUGGUAACAGGCACGAAAAACACCGACUAAACGUGUAGUAAAUGUCCGGCAGAAGGUUCUGGACGGGGGUUCGAUUCCCCCCAUCUCCACCA